Molecule: ribosomal RNA, 468 nt
Filed under: uncultured bacterium
Lineage: Bacteria
Description: partial 16S ribosomal RNA
Rfam family: Bacterial small subunit ribosomal RNA
Source: RNAcentral
GACGAACGCUGGCGGCGUGCUUAACACAUGCAAGUCGAACGGAAAGGCCCUGCUUUUGUGGGGUGCUCGAGUGGCGAACGGGUGAGUAACACGUGAGUAACCUGCCCUUGACUUUGGGAUAACUUCAGGAAACUGGGGCUAAUACCGGAUAGGAGCUCCUGCUGCAUGGUGGGGGUUGGAAAGUUUCGGCGGUUGGGGAUGGACUCGCGGCUUAUCAGCUUGUUGGUGGGGUAGUGGCUUACCAAGGCUUUGACGGGUAGCCGGCCUGAGAGGGUGACCGGCCACAUUGGGACUGAGAUACGGCCCAGACUCCUACGGGAGGCAGCAGUGGGGAAUAUUGCACAAUGGGCGGAAGCCUGAUGAAGCAACGCCGCGUGUGGGAUGACGGCCUUCGGGUUGUAAACCGCUUUCGCCUGUGACGAAGCGUGAGUGACGGUAAUGGGUAAAGAAGCACCGGCUAACUACGUG